RNAcentral lists this ribosomal RNA (429 nucleotides) under Chloroflexota bacterium. RNAcentral describes it as "Chloroflexi bacterium partial 16S ribosomal RNA". It matches the Rfam family "Bacterial small subunit ribosomal RNA", at positions 355 to 776 of the family's 1533-position model. Lineage: Bacteria; Bacillati; Chloroflexota. The record is from RNAcentral.
UAGGGAAUCUUCGGCAAUGGACGAAAGUCUGACCGAGCAACGCCGCGUGUGUGAAGAAGGUUUUCGGAUCGUAAAACUCUGUUGUUAGAGAAGAACAAGGACGUUAGUAACUGAACGUCCCCUGACGGUAUCUAACCAGAAAGCCACGGCUAACUACGUGCCAGCAGCCGCGGUAAUACGUAGGUGGCAAGCGUUGUCCGGAUUUAUUGGGCGUAAAGCGAGCGCAGGCGGUUUGUUAAGUCAGAUGUGAAAUCCCCGGGCUCGACCUGGGAACUGCAUCUGAUACUGGCAAGCUUGAGUCUCGUAGAGGGGGGUAGAAUUCCAGGUGUAGCGGUGAAAUGCGUAGAGAUCUGGGGGAAUACCGGUGGCGAAGGCGGCCCCCUGGACGAAGACUGACGCUCAGGUGCGAAAGCGUGGGGAGCAAACAGG